CGUGGAGCGAUUUGUCUGGUUUAUUCCGAUAACGAGCGAGACUCCAGCCUGCUAAAUAGCACACUCCUUCUGCUUAGGGGAGUGAGGCUUCUUAGAGGGAUCAUCGGCGUUCAGCCGCACGACACGGAGCAAUAACAGGUCUGUGAUGCCCUUAGAUGUCCGGGGCUGCACGCGCGCUACACUGGCGAAGGCAGCGUGCCUGUCCUACCCCGGCAGGGGUGGGUAAACAAAUGAAAAUUCGCCGUGAUUGGGAUCGGAGAUUGCAAUUAUUCUCCGUGAACGAGGAAUUCCAAGUAAGUGCGAGUCAUCAACUCGCGUUGAAUACGUCCCUGCCCUUUGUAC
This 342-nucleotide ribosomal RNA is filed under the name Nematoda environmental sample. RNAcentral describes it as "SSU rRNA". It matches the Rfam family "Eukaryotic small subunit ribosomal RNA", at positions 1300 to 1665 of the family's 1831-position model. Lineage: Eukaryota; Metazoa; Nematoda. The record is from RNAcentral.